This 2089-nucleotide long non-coding RNA is filed under the name Capsicum annuum. RNAcentral describes it as "long non-coding RNA (CANN_LNC011049)". The record is from RNAcentral. Lineage: Eukaryota; Viridiplantae; Streptophyta; Magnoliopsida; Solanales; Solanaceae.
AUUUACUUCAAGGCUAUUUUAACAGGGGUAUUUUGGUCACUUACCACUUGCCUAUAUAAAUAUACCCAGAUGAAUUCGAAUUCAGCCAUUUUGCUCAUUAUUAUUUCACAAAAAAAACUAGGGUUUCUCUCUAAAUUUAAUCGCCAAGAACAAGAUCCAAUCUUCUUCAAAAAUCAAAGGAUUUCAAAUCCUUCAAGUUCAAAAACAUCAAGAACCUUGAGUCAGGUAUGCAUAAUGUUCAUCUAUGGGUCUAUUUCGUUCAUAGAGCUCAAGAACCAUGUUUUAAAUAUUAUUUUGUGAUUGUCUUGUUGUGAUAUGAGCAUGUACAUGUUGAUGAUUGUUGUUUAAGUUUCAAGAUGAUAUCUAAAGGUGAUUUCAUGAAGUAUAUGUGUUUGUUAGUUGAAACCCAUGAUCCUUAUGUGGCUUAAUAUGGUAAAAUUCAUGAAUACACUUAAGCUAAAAGAAUGCAUGCAAAGUGUUUGAUAAUAUGCCUAGAUAAUAGAAUUCAUGUCCCUUGAUUUAAUAGUGCUUAAAUGACAAGUCCAUGCUUUAUGCUUUACGAUUUCCCAUGAAUUCCAUGUGAGUGAUAUGCGUUGUUGUUGUGAUAUGGAUUGAACAUGAUAUUAAAGCUAUGCAAGUAUAUACAUGUUUUAUGAAUUUUACUUCCAUGUGUAAGAUGUUUAGAACUAUGAUUAGUAUGAAAUCCCCUACUUAUGAUAUGGUAAAUUAUGGACUCUACUCUUACGAUCAAGUCAGUCAUGUGUGUCAGUUUCCUUCUAUUGAGUCCUGGGGUUACUUGUACCCGAAAGAUAUAGCUAUAUGCCUAGAUCCAUGUCAUUUUAUCAUGAUAAUCUCAGUAAGCCAUGAUCUAUAGAACUCAGUCGAUCAUGUAACUCAGGAAACCUCAGAAAUCUCAUGAUUUCAGUUAAUUCUCAAAUAGUAGCACUAAUCCAUCAGUCAACAGAAGUCAGUUACUCAGUCCAUGUACCAUCAGUUAAAUCACGUUCAGUCUCUUUAGAUGGGAGUAGAAGUUAGCAUCAAGUGAACCCAAGGAUGGGAACUCACCUGCCAGUUUAGGGUAUGAUUCUUAGUAAUCAUCCUUAUGUUCCAAAACUACGUAGCCAACGUAGGUUGAGACAUCUUAACCUGUUAGAUUAGGGUUGAUGAGGUGGCUUAAUCCGUUAGUUUAGGGUUCCUACCAUUCUCAUUUUGAGUACCUGUCAGCUAAGGGUCACUCACAGCUGUCCUUACCAGUGGUGCGGUAUUGACACCCUUCUAGUCGGGGUAGAGAUUGGACCCCAACUUAGCUAUGUGCGUUAUUAGGGCAUGUCGGUCAAACAACUACCUCCCACAGUUUUAGUCUAAGUCGCAGUAAAAGAACUCAGAUAGUUCUUUAGAUUUUAGUAUAUCAGGACUGUCAGAUACCAUCAAUUUAAUUACAGAAUGGAACAUAGAUAGUUCCAUUAGAUUUAGGACUGUCAUACACAGUCAUCUAUGUUGUUAGUUCCAUUAGAUUCAGGACUGUCAUACACAGUCAUCUAUGUUAUCAAAAUUUUAGUAUUUUUCAUGCUAGAUAUCAAUAGAUCAUGUAUUAGUGUAUAGAUCUAGAUAUCACGUAAUCAUGAUCUUAGUUACUACGUAUGCAUGUUUGCACUCUUACGUUCAUAUCAAUCAGUCAGUUAGCAUCGUUCAUGCAUGUAAACCCUUUUGCAUGUAGCCUACCUCACUCGUAUACUAAGUAAUCUCAGUUGUACUGACGUAUUUGUGCUAUGUGCUUUCUUUUACGUUACAACAUAGGUUCACAGAUACGAGCUCCAGAUCAGCAGUAGCAGUAGCAUUCCAGUCGCAGAGUUGCAGUGAGUCUUCAUCCAUUCUAGGAUAAUAUUAUUUACUUCAUUUGUUAAUUUAGUUUAGUUUUGCUAGACGGAGUUAGUUGGAGACACGUUUCUUCAACUCUUUAUUCAGACAGUAUUAGAGGCUUUCAGAUUUAGCUGAGAUUUGAUUCAGAUUUCAGUUGUUUUAGGUAUUCGUUACCCCAUAUGGAUGUUAUGAUUUGUCAAAUAUUCUAUGCAUUUGAACCUUAUGGCCU